CCGCGGUACCCUGACCGUGCUAAGGUAGCAUAAUCACUUGCCUCCUAAUUAGUGGCCUGUAUGAAUGGACAAACGAGAGUUUAACUGUCUCAAACAUUCCCAUAAAAAUUAAUCUUCGGGUGAAGAGGCCCGAAUAAAAUUAAAAGACAAAAAGACCCCGUAGAGCCUAACUUCAAUUUAAGUAUAAACAGUCUAACAACCCCCCUUAAUAAGAAGUCAAGUUGGGGCGACUAAGGAAAAUCAAAAUCUUCCUUUCACAAACAGGCCUAUAAGCCCGCAACGAUCCAACUACUUGAUCAACAAAACAGGCUACCUCAGGGAUAACAGGCUAAUCCUCCUCGAGAGCCCAAAUUAACAGGAGGGAUUGGCACCUCGAUGUUGGCUUAGGGCCCCCUAGAAGUGCAGCAGCUUCUAAGGGAGGUUUGUUCAACCUUUAAACCCCUACGUGAUCU
This 452-nucleotide ribosomal RNA is filed under the name Paradoneis cf. ilvana MB-2021. RNAcentral describes it as "partial 16S ribosomal RNA". It matches the Rfam family "Bacterial large subunit ribosomal RNA", at positions 1931 to 2606 of the family's 2925-position model. Lineage: Eukaryota; Metazoa; Annelida; Polychaeta; Paraonidae. The record is from RNAcentral.